UACGGAGGGUGCAAGCGUUGUUCGGAAUUAUUGGGCGUAAAGCGCGUGUAGGCGGUCUUUUAAGUCUGAUGUGAAAGCCCCGGGCUCAACCUGGGAAGUGCAUUGGAAACUGGAAGACUUGAGUACGGGAGAGGGCAGUGGAAUUCCUAGUGUAGGAGUGAAAUCCGUAGAUAUUAGGAGGAACACCGGUGGCGAAGGCGGCUGCCUGGACCGAUACUGACGCUGAGGUGCGAAAGCGUGGGGAGCAAAC
Molecule: ribosomal RNA, 250 nt
Filed under: uncultured bacterium
Lineage: Bacteria
Description: partial 16S ribosomal RNA
Rfam family: Bacterial small subunit ribosomal RNA
Source: RNAcentral